RNAcentral lists this signal recognition particle RNA (99 nucleotides) under Chloroflexota bacterium. Its description in RNAcentral is "Chloroflexi bacterium (Noosa River metagenome) signal recognition particle sRNA small type". It matches the Rfam family "Bacterial small signal recognition particle RNA". Rfam says of the family: The signal recognition particle (SRP) is a universally conserved ribonucleoprotein involved in the co-translational targeting of proteins to membranes. Archaeal SRP consists of a 7S RNA and homologues of the eukaryotic SRP19 and SRP54 proteins. Lineage: Bacteria; Bacillati; Chloroflexota. The record is from RNAcentral. RNAcentral also lists the same sequence under 1 other name.
AACUGGGUCCCUGGCGGCGGGGGCCGUCGAACCGCGUCAGGUCCGGGAGGAAGCAGCGCUAAGGCGUUUCCCCCGGGUGCCCAGGAUAACCUGGUAAUC